This 252-nucleotide long non-coding RNA is filed under the name Ananas comosus (pineapple). Its description in RNAcentral is "long non-coding RNA (ACOM_LNC028281)". Lineage: Eukaryota; Viridiplantae; Streptophyta; Magnoliopsida; Poales; Bromeliaceae. The record is from RNAcentral.
CUUUAAAUUGAUUAAAUAUUUUUUUAAAAAAAUUUUUCCAACAAUAAAAAAUUUCUAUUAUUCCAUGAACUUUUGGUGAAGUUUCACUUUACUUCCAAAACUCAUAAAAUGAAUAUUUAAUACCUUAAAAUCUAAUAUUUUAUUUAUAUUAUCCCUUCCGUUAUUAUUCGAUUGACGAAGUUUGAUAGAAAACUAUCGGAAGAGAUAACAUGAACGAAACAUUAGACUUUCUAAGGGUGUUAGAUGCCUAUU